Long non-coding RNA from Coffea arabica (coffee), 9107 nucleotides. RefSeq lists it as uncharacterized. Lineage: Eukaryota; Viridiplantae; Streptophyta; Magnoliopsida; Gentianales; Rubiaceae. The record is from RefSeq and is a predicted model, not a curated record.
UAGUUGUGUGGUAAGAUAUUUGUCUGCUCUUCUUCGUCGUAGGUUUUGUUUAGGUUCUAGGGUUAGGUUUUCCCUAAAUUAGAUUCGUUUGCUGUGGAUUUUUGCCUCAGUUGAAGGUUAGGAGCUUCAAUUGAUGAUCAUCGCUGGCUCGAUCGUUGCUUCUAUGGUUUGAUGAUUUGGUUAAUUUGAAGCUUAUUAUCGCUAAUUUUUUUAUGGUGAUUUUCGAGAUUUAAUCAUGAUUGUGUUUUUGGCGGUGGAUCUGGUGUUUUGAAGGAUCGAACGGGAUGGGUACCAGUUUUUGCACUAGUUUCGGUUUGUUUAUGUGGUAAUUUCUGGUGGUAAUUUCUGGAUCAUUCCAAUUAUCGGACAAAUUUGACAUCAAAUUUCCUUCAAAGUUAGCCCUUUUUGGUUCUUCUUUUUGGUUUUCUUGCUGUGGUUCUUGUAGAAUGAUGGAUUUCGGGCCAUGUGGAGUGGGAAGGAACUAUCUCUUGGAUGGAUGUGAGGGUAAUCUGAAUCUGGAGUUUUUAUUUCAUUCAUAUUUGUGGUUGUUAUUGUUGUAGGCGGUGCUCUUGACUUUCAGUAGUUUUGGUGUGGUGACGAUCGAGGAUUGAUGAGGAAGAUUCAACUUUUACUAUUGUUGGGUUUGUUGAUUUGUAAUUUCUGGAUCGUUCUUUGUUAUCAAGAUUUUCGUGUUUUCUUUUUCUGGUUCUUUUGAUGUUCUCGUUGUGGCGUGGCAGAAUCCUAGUCUUCGGUGGGGCUAAAAAAGACUUUCUGGACGCGAAUAUUAUACGGCAUCGGGAGUGUUUUCCCUCGUCCCUUUUUUGGUUUCCCUUUUUAUUUCCUGAAAAAAUUAGUCGGGGAGUCUAUCAGUAACUGGCCUUAUGUGUUGUAUUGAUUUAGGGGAGCUUGGAUGCAAGAGGGUUUACCCUGCUAUACUGGUUUACCAAAUUCGAGAGAAGUUUUCUCUGUCCUCCUUUUCUGCUGUUUGACGGAGUUUUCUGGCUAUAGAUGCUGAGUUGCUCAGCGAGGUGUUCGUUUUCUGAUUUGCUUCAUUACUUGUGUUGUGCAAUAUAGGAUUUCUGUGAUUCGGAGUUGUGGUGAUAACUGAGCCUUCCUUCCUCAGAUGGUAAACUGAUUUGGAGGGAGUUAUCUUGUCACCCAUAAUCUUGUGCUUCAGGAAUUUAUGCUUUUGGCAUCUUUUGAUAUCUGCACGCGGUUUUAUCGAGUUUUUUUUUUCUUUUUUAGAACUUACAGGACACACACUGUUGAAAUAGCUUUCAACCUCUCCAUUCAAUUUGCCUGCACCUAUUUCGCUGCUCUUCUCUUAAGUCUAGGAUUGUGUUGUGCAAUAUAGGGUUUCAGUGAUUCGGAGUUGUGGUGAUAACUGAGCCUUCCUUCCUCUGGGUCUUCUCGGAGUUGCGGUGAUAACUGAGCCUUCCUUCCUCAGAUGGUAAACUGAUUUGGAGGGAGUUAUCUUCUCACCCAUAAUCUUGUGCUUCAGGAAUUUAUGCUUUUGGCACCUUUUGAUAUUUGCACGCUGUUUUAUCGAUUUUUUUUUCUUUUUUAGAACUUACAGGACACACUGUUGAAAUAGCUUUCAACCUCUCCAUUCAAUUUGCCUGCACCUAUUUCGCUGCUCUUUUCUUGAGUCUAGGAUUGUGUUGUGCAAUAUAGGGUUUCAGUGAUUCGGAGUUGUGGUGAUAACCGAGCCUGCCUUCCUCGGAUGGUAAACUGAUUUUGAGGGAGUUUUCUCACCCAUAAUCUUGUGCUUGAGGAAUUUAUGCUUUUGGCACCUUUUGAUAUCUGCACGCUGUUUUCUCGAGUUUUUUUUUUCUUUUUUAGAACUUCAGGACACACACUGCUGAAAUAGCUUUCAACCUCUCCAUUCAAUUUGCCUGCACCUACUUUGCUGCUCUUUCUCUUGAGUCUAGGAUUAGGUUUUCCCUAAGUGAGAUUCAAUUGUUGUGGUUUUUUGUUUCAGCAGAAGGUUAGGAUCUUCAAUUGAUGAUCUUCACUGGGUUCGACCGUUGCUUCUAUGGUUUGAUGAUUUGAUUAAUUUGAAGCUUAUUAUCGCUAAUUUUGUUAUGGCAAUUUUUGAGAUUUAAUCAUGGUUGUUUCCGGGCAGUGGCUCUGGUAUUUCGAAGGAUUGAACGGGAAGGAUACCAUUUUUUGCAGUAGUUUUGGUUUGUUUUUGUGGUAAUUUCUGGAUAAUUCCAAUUAUCAGACAAAUUUGACAUCAAGUCUCCUCCAAAAUUAGUGCUUUUCUGGUUUUUUUGAUGUGCUUACUGUAGAAUGAUGGAUUUCGGGCAUGUACAGUGGGAAGGAACUCUCUCUUGGAUGGAUGUAAGCGUAAUCUGAAUCCUGGAGUUUUUUUUUCGUAUCUGUGGUAUGGUUAUUGUUGUUCUUAUUGCUGUAGGUGGUGCUCUGGACUUUGAAUAGUUUUGGUGUGGUGUCGUUCGAAGAUUGAUGAAGAUUUGUGUUUUUACAAUUGUCGGGUUUGUUGAUUAGUAAUUUCCCGAUUGUUCUUUGUUAUCAAGAUCGUCGUCUUUUCUUUUUCUUGUUCUUUUGAUGUCCUCCUCGUGGCUUGGCAGAAUCCUAGUCUUAGGUGGAGCUGGCAGAAUCCUAGUCUUAGGUGGAGCUAAAAAAGAUAUUGCAUCCGAAUAUUAUACGAUAUUGGGAGUUUUUCCCCCCUCCCUUUUUGGUUUCCUUUUUUAUUUCCUGAAAAAAUUAGGCGGGGAGUCAAUUAGUAACUGGCCCUCUCUGUUGUAUUGAUUUAGGGGAGCUUGAAUGCAAGAGGGUCUGGUUGCAUUUUUUAUCCUGCUAUACUGGUUUACAAGAUUCCAGAAGUUCUCUGUCCUUGUUUUCUGCUGUUUGACUAGGGAGUUCUCUGGCUAAAGGUGCUGGUUUGCUCUGUGAGACAGCUGUGUUCGUUUUCUGAUUUCCUGCAUCAAUCUGUGUUGUGCAAUACCGGGUUUCAGUGAUUUGGAGUUGUGAUAACUGAGCCUUCCUUCCUCAGAUGGUAAACUGUUUUGGAGGGAGUUAUCUUCUUACAAUCUUUUACUUAGGAAUUUAUGCUUUUGGCACCUUUUGAUACCUGUACACAGUUUUGUUGAGUAUUUUUCUUUUCAGAACUCCGGGAGAAACACCAUUGAAAUAGCUUUCAACCUCUCCAUCCAAUUUGCCUGCACAUACUUUGCUGCUUCUCCAUCAGAGUUAUCUUUGCCCAUUUGUUGUCUUCAGGGUUUUGAAUUUAUUUUGGUUCCAUAUGGUCCUCAGAUGCUUAGGAUUGUGUCAAUAUGGCAAUAUUGCUGCUGUCAGGUAUUUCUUAGCUUUUAAAUUCUGCCAUCAAAGAUGUUUUUCUAGGUAGUUCCCAUAGAAUUUUCUUCUUGAUCCGAACAAGAAUCAAGUUUAUGCUUGUUACAUGAAUAGGUUUAGUGUUAUGGUAGAUUAUCUGAAUUUGUCAAUUCAUUUGUCAGUUCUCAUCUUUGCAUCCAAUUUCAUUUUUGUUGGCUUUUUGUGUCACUGGCAACUUUAAUGAGAGGAAGGUCUCUUGUAUGUUAUUCUGUGAAUUAAUUGGACGUAUUUGAACAUAAUCUCUUAUUUGGGGCUCAACAUUGGUGUUUCAGUCGUUGCUUUAGGUUGUGUUGCUGCUAUAUGUCGUGGCUCUGGGUUUCAGCAAUUUCUCUGUGGUGUUGAUUGAGGAUUGAUCUUGAGGUUUUGCGGUUUGUUGAUGUAGUUAUUCUUGAAUGGUUCUGGUUGAUGUUUAAAGGUUGUCUUCUUUUCUGGUUCUUUGAUGUGGUCUGAGAAUGAUGGAGUUCUGCGUAUGGAAGUAAUUCUUGGAUGGAGGGAAGCAAAAAAGAGCUUCUUGGAUGGAUGAAUGUGAUAAAUCGGGAAUUUUUUUCUCUGCCAACCAAUUCUUUCUUUUGCAUACAAAUAGCUGGUAUUCGUUGGUAAUAGCUUAUCUGUUGUCUUCAUUUUAGGGAAGUUUGGAUUGGAGCAUUCGCGUCAUUUGUGUGACCUGCUAUUACAGCUUACAAGAUUUUGGAGGAGCUCUCUUUCCCUACUUGUUUUUCUGUUGUUUCCUUGAAAUUGAUUAGGAAAUUUGUGGAUUUGCUCCUUGUUCUCUAAUUUCCCAUAUUACUAUGGUGCUGCAACUUAGGGUUUCAGUGAAGUGAUUUGUGAUUCUUGGAUGGAUGGAAGCAAAAAAGAGCUUUUCUUCGAUGGAUGAAUGUGAUAAAUCGGGAGUUUUUUUUUCUGCCAAGCAAUUUUUUCUGUUGCAUAAAAAUAGUUGGUAUUCGUUGGUAAUAGCUUAUCUAUUGUCUUCAUUUUAGGGAAGUUUGGAUUGGAGCGUUCUCGUCAUUUGUGACCUGCUAUUCCAGUUUACAAGAUUUUGGAGGAGCUCUCUCUUUCCCUACUUGUUUUUCUGCUGUUUCCUUGAAAUUGAUUAGGAUAUCUGUGGAUUUGCUCCUCUCCUCUAAUUUCCCAUAUUACUAGGGUGCAGCUUGGGGUUUCAGUGAAGUGAUUCGUGCUUCAAACUUGCCUUCCCAAUCUCAGAUCAAGGGCUAGUUAAAUUUUUUGGAGGGAGUUAUUUUCUCACCUACACAAAUUGUUCUUUUGUGCUAGAGGAAUUUAGGGGUUUCAAUGCCUUAAUUAUAAUUUCUCUGUGAAUCUUUUUGGCCUGGCGGCAUGUCUUGCAGAGUCAACUUUCCUGAUCCACGAUGAAUAGAAUGGGUCAUAACCAAGUGCAUCUCUGUGCUUAUUCAAGUUUAUUUGUAUGGGUGGGGUUCCUGGUAUUUUGCUCAUUCAGCUUGAUCUGAAGAAGUGUUAAGGCUAUGCAUAUUGGUCUGAUUGCAUGAACUCUCUACUUGAGAUGGAACAUGGGCUUUUUGGAUGCGAUGUUUCUUAGAAUUAUGGGAUGCGGUUCUUCUUGGAAUUAUGGAAUUGAUGUGAUGGUGAUCCUUAAUUUUGAGUUUUGCUUUCUGCUUUAUUUUUGUAUUGCUGUACUCAGUUGCUCUGGUUUUGAGCAGUUCCCCUAUAGAGUUGAUUGGUAAAAAGACGGUAAAAAGAUUUUGAGGUUAAUGACGGUUUGUUUUGUUCUUGGUGAUUUUUCAAGAUUUGUCUUCUCUUCUUUGGCUCUUUCGAUGUCAUUUUCUCAAGAUGUCAUUUUUCAAGAAUAGUGGAUUUCUGGUAUGAGGAGGCUAGAAGAGCUCUCUCUUGGAUGGAUGUGAAUAAAAUCGGGAGAUUUUCUUUUCAAUCUGGUCUUUCUUUGUUCUCUCUUGCCUGAAAAAAUCAGGGUGGUGAUGGCUUCUUUCUGUUUUGAUUUUAGGGAAGCUUGUUCCAGGAGUGUCGGUGUGUUUGGUACCCUGCUAACUGGUUUUGUAACAAGAUAUUGGAUAAGCGCUCUCUUUCCCUACUCUCUUUUUUUUGACUGUUUUGUUUAAAAAAUGAUUUUCUCUGCUUGUUCUUUAAUUUACUAUGUCUGUGUCGAAUCAGAGGGGUGGCCAAAACAUAGGUCUCUGUCCUCAGGUCGAAGGCUAGUACAUUAUUAUAGAGGGGUUUAUCUUCAUACCUAUGCUCUUAUUAUUCUUUUUUGGCUUGAGCAUUUCAAGAGUUUUGGUACUUUUUGAUGUCUGUAGAAAGUAUAAUCUAAAUUCUUUGUAAAUCUCUUCCUCCAUAGUCCACCAUGCUUGUAGAAAUGCCUUAUGCAUUAUUUGUUGUCAGUAAUUUCUUGAAAGUCUCUGUUCCUGAUCCUCAAGGAAAAGUUAUCACUGUGUGUUUUGUUCUUGUUGAUUUUUCAAGAUUUGUCCUUUCUUCUCUGCUUCUUUUGAUAUCUUUCAAGAAAAGUGGAUUUGUGGUGUGUGUAGGCGAGGAGCUCUCUCUUGGAUGGAUGGGAAUAAAUCGGGGGAUUUUCUUUUCAACCUGCUAUUUCUAUGUUCUCUUUCCCUGAAAAAAUCACUGGGGGUGGUGGGUGAUGGCUUUUGUCUUUUUUGAUUUUUAGGAGCUUGUUCCCGGAGUGUUGGUGCAUUUGGGGCCCUGCUAACCAGUUUUGUAACAAGAUUUUGGAUGAGCUCUCUUUCGUUGCCUUUUUUUUUUGCUGUUUUCUUUAAAAUGGAUUUUCUUUACUCGUUCUCUAAUUUGCUAUAUUAUUUUGUGUUGAAUCCUGGAUUUCAGUGAUUCGGAGGUGUGGUUAAAACAUAGGGGUCUGUUCUGUCGUCGGUAGUUUAUCUUUUGUGCAUGAGGAAUUUAGGGGUUUUGAUACCUUAUUUGUAAUUUUUCUGUUAAACUUUUCUUAUUGUUUGUUACCUGGUCUGGCAGUAAUUCCUGCAGAGUCAACUCUCCUGAUCCAUGAGAAAUGGAUUGGCGUAUAACCAAGUGUUAAAUUCUGUCAUCUUAACAUGUUUGUAUAGGUAGGGUUUUUGGUGUUGCCGAUUCAUCAUGGUCUGAAGAAGAAUGAAUGCUACAUUUAUCAGUUUUGAUAAAUAUGGCAGAUCUACAAUUUUUAUUUCAUCUUUGUGCCAAGUUGAAGUCUGUGUUGGCUAUUCAUGUAAUCACACACUUACAGAAUUCCAGUGAGGGUGGUGACAGAGUAUGGUACUCUUCUGAUGUCAAGCCUAUUAUAUAAUUUAAAUUUAAUUUAAAAUUUUCAUGAUCCUUUUCUUCUAUAGUCCAUCAUGUUUAUGGGAAUACCUUAUGCAUCAAUUAUUCUGGCAGUAAUCACUUGGGAAGUCCAUGUUCCUGAUCCUCAUUUAAGAGUACAGAUUUGUGUAUCACUGCUUAAUCCCAACUGUUAGUUCCUGGACUCCUGCAACCAGCCCUAAUUCACCUCCACUGAUUUUGCGGCUGCUCCAUUAAUUUCCGAUUAGCUUAAUCCCAGGCCCUUCCUUUCUUUGGGGACUGUUUUCUUGUUAACUCAUAUAAUUCUGAAAAGAAUUAACGUUAUGCUUGGUAUGCUAAUUUGUUUUGAUGGUAUGUAUAUAAUCUAAAUUUCUGGAUGGUGGCAACUAAUAGACGGCUCUGAUAUUGGUUUUCAUCUUGGUGUCAGAGUUUAAGUUGGGUUCUGAUGUCCUGGUAUCCCUUGCAGAACUCUAAUCUUAGCGAGAGGAUUGUGAAGAAAUAGAGGUCUCUUGGAUGUUCUGAUGUCCUGGUACUGUGGUUAGAGGUCUCUUGGACGUUAUUCUUUUUCAGAUGUUCUGAUGUCCUGGUACUGUGGUUUGAAUCAUGGAAUCUCUCUUCAUGCUGUCCUGUUGUGUUUGUUGAAAACAUUACUGAUGCAUUCGUCAGGCUUUAUAAUUUGUUUAAUUCUGCAGAUUGGAUAUAGGAGCUUUGAUCAUGGUUAGGUGCUCGAGUAACAGGUUCAAGAAAAAUGUUUUAUUCGUUAUGAGUAUUCAUGAGCUUUUGAUGGAUGAAUUCUGAAUUAGUCAUGAUAGUUACCCUGUUAUGCUGUGUUUUCAGCGUUUUACUAUUGAAGUUCAUUAGGAAGUAUUUGAAAGAAUAAAGGGUGCAUAGAAAUAUUUGGUUUGUCGUGUUCGUCAGGGUCCGGUAUAAGUUCUUGGAAAAUUUUGACAUCAAUUAGCUUCUUGAUCUGUUAAAACUGUCACUAUUCGAUGUUCUUGCAUAGAAUGACAGAUGGGGGGUGAAUUAUCAGAAUUAGGGGAUGCAAAGAAGAACUUCAGAGGAAUGGGAAAAAUUAUGGUUUACCCUGAUCCUGAUUGAUUUUGCAUAUGCUGUGUGUGAUUAUUGCUGGGCUUAUUAUUAGUCUUAUCUGGUUUCCAUUUAGGGAGCUUAUUUGCAAGAAUCUCUGGUUAUAUUGUUACCUGGUAUUGUGAUCUACAUGAUUUCGAAGGAGCUCUCCUCUCGUGGUUGUGCCUGGUUUUCUUUGUGGUUUAAUUUCAGGAAGAGCUGGGAGUUGAACUCAGAUGUAUGUUUUCAAGCCUGAAUUUCUGCAUUACUAACCCAUCCUAGUUGCAUGCUACUGAUCACCCAUGAAAUCGAAGCAGAUGUAGAGGUUUUUUUUAUCCCUGAUCAUUUGUAAUGGAUGUCUUGAGCGCAACUGCAGUGUCAUUUUGUUUGUCCUGGUUUAUUCACGACGGUGUUUUUAAUAUUCAAUGAAGUUUGCAGAUUCUGCUUUGAUAGCAUGAAAGGAGUUUUGGUGGGUCUUUAGCAAAGUUUUGUAUAUUCUUGUAGCAAACAUGCUUAUUCCAGUGAAUUUAAGAUAUCCAGAAAUUGGGAUUUUCUAUUUUUGUCUCCUUUCAAGUCAUAUAGAUGGUAAAGAUGUGGCUCUUCCUAGUCUACAUGGAAUUUGAUUGACGAUUUUGAUGUUUGAAUGUGGAAAGAAACUUCUGAUAUGCCAUGGGGUGCGGCCUAAGAUGCAACUCAGUAUGGGUUCAUGGUCAUGGCGAAGUAGGUAUAUUUCUUGCCUCCUAUCGUUCUUGGGCUUUUGGUGUGUGGUAUUUGGUAUGUCCAUUAUUGUUGAAGAGGGUCUAACGGGAGUCUUCCUCUAUCACCAUUGAAUACUCAGCUGCUAGCGUUCAUCAUCUACAGUUGAAUGGAAGAGAAAUUCGGUUAUUCUCAGUUAGAUUCAGUCAUGUUAGAACAGAUGCAUGCAAUAUCUGCUUUCGUAGUCAUGUAAGAACAGGUACUGGUAUUGUUCAGUCAUGUAAUAACAGAUGAUGUCAUGUAAGAACAGGUACUGUUAUUGUAGUCAGUCAUGUAAAAACAGAUGCAUGCAAUCUGUUUUUGUAGUCAUCAACUUACAUACCACUGGUACUGGUAUUGUGUGUGAAUUUCAUUUCAUACUUGAAUUUUGUGAUCCUCUGGUACGUAGGUUUAGUAUGCAACUUUAAAGUGCAUGUAACUGAAUUCUGUCGUCCUUGGGAAGAAGCUGUUGGACAAUCUUUGCUUAUGGUCCUAACAGAUAUGGUGUGGCAUCAAGAGGUCCAAUCUAAGAUCGGCAAUAGUAUGCGUUGCUGUUUUGGGAGAUGGUUCCAUUUUGGCAGGCCCUGGCACAGGUUUUUAUGUUCAUAUAUAACCAUUUGUAAAUGAUUGACAAAUUGAGAGGAAUCCAAAUGCCUUGUUUACGAGUAUCGAAAAUCAUUAAUUUGGUUGAA